This 31-nucleotide non-coding RNA is filed under the name Homo sapiens (human). Lineage: Eukaryota; Metazoa; Chordata; Mammalia; Primates; Hominidae. The record is from RNAcentral.
GAACAAGUCCCAUCAUUCACGUGAAGCCUCC